RNAcentral lists this ribosomal RNA (229 nucleotides) under uncultured bacterium. RNAcentral's name for it is "partial 16S ribosomal RNA". It matches the Rfam family "Bacterial small subunit ribosomal RNA", at positions 118 to 347 of the family's 1533-position model. The record is from RNAcentral.
UGAGGAACAUGACCUUCGGCGGGGAUAGCCGGCCCAACGGCCGGGUAAUACCGCGUACGACCACAUGGGGACAUCCCUGAGUGGUGAAAGCAGCAAUGCGCCGAUGGAGUGCCUCGCGGCCUAUCAGCUAGUUGGUGAGGUAACGGCUCACCAAGGCGACGACGGGUAGCUGGUCUGAGAGGAUGGCCAGCCACAUUGGGACUGAGACACGGCCCAGACUCUACGGGAG